This is a long non-coding RNA of Vidua macroura (Pin-tailed whydah), 692 nucleotides long. RefSeq lists it as uncharacterized. The transcript has 2 exons. The record is from RefSeq and is a predicted model, not a curated record. Lineage: Eukaryota; Metazoa; Chordata; Aves; Passeriformes; Viduidae.
GGAACUGGACAAACUGGAGCAUGAUGCACCACCACUAGCUGGGCCACCUAGACACCAGCGAGCUGGGACAUAACCCAUGGACGCUGCAAGGGAGAGUCAUCAGAGGUUGCAGGAUUUGGGUGCAAAGGGCACAUCCCCUGUAAGGAGUAGCAUGGGGCAUGAUCACAGAGGUUGAGGAGAAGUGUUUUCCAGCCCAAGACCAAAGUUAAUCCCCUUUUCUCUUUUGUAAGAGGGAAGCUGAGGCACUGGGAUUGGGAGGAUCAAAGGCUUGACAUGCACUUGGCCCACCUGCACAUCCAUGGAGGGGACCUCAAGGUGAGAUUUCAUCCCAGGAUCGUUUGGAGUGAAUGUCUGCCUGUCCAAAGCAGUGAGAGUUGAAGAGCUGCUCAGUCUUGCCAUCCCUGCUCUUACAAGGGCAGCUUUCCUCUCCUGAGGGCAUGUUUGGGUGAGAAAAGUGAGACAGUGAGAUGACGACUGCAGGUGGGCGCUUGGUGCCUGUAUCCUCACUUUUAUGCCAUGGAGAUACAGGGAGCAACCUCCAACAGCCCCAUCCUCAAGGCAGGAGCUGCCUGGUGAGAAUUCUAAGUACUGGUGAUCCCAUCAGAUUGCAAUCUGCUGCUCCUCUUUGAAGACAUCACAAAAUGAGCCUCUGGUUGUCCAUCUGCACUUGAAUUAAACCUCAUUGUUCUGAA